AAAGUUCGACAGACAAUCGCUGGCGGCUUCGCGCCGCGAGAGGAAAGUCCGGGCUCCACAGGGCAGGAUGCUGGAUAACGUCCAGUCAGCGCGAGCUGAAGGAUAGUGCCACAGAAAUGGACCGCCGAUGGCCGCUCGCGAGAGCGGAUCAGGCAAGGAUGGAACCGUGGUGUAAGAGACCACGAGGGGCACUGGCGACUUUGCCCCUGGUAAACCCCAUCUGGAGCAAGACCGAAGAGGAACGCAGCGGCUCUCGAGGCCGCAGCCCUAGCCCGGGGCGCGUUCGGGUUGGUCGCUUGAGCCGUGCGGCAACGUACGGCCUAGAAAGAUGAUUGUCGCUUCCAUCCGUGGGAGGACCGCCAGGUCCGCGACGACCACCGGAAGUACAGAACCCGGCUUACGGCGAGCUUUCCGU
RNAcentral lists this RNase P RNA (415 nucleotides) under Cohnella nanjingensis. RNAcentral describes it as "Bacterial RNase P class A". It matches the Rfam family "Bacterial RNase P class A". Rfam says of the family: Ribonuclease P (RNase P) is a ubiquitous endoribonuclease, found in archaea, bacteria and eukarya as well as chloroplasts and mitochondria. Its best characterised activity is the generation of mature 5'-ends of tRNAs by cleaving the 5'-leader elements of precursor-tRNAs. The record is from Rfam by way of RNAcentral. Lineage: Bacteria; Bacillati; Bacillota; Bacilli; Caryophanales; Paenibacillaceae.